Molecule: small nucleolar RNA, 122 nt
Organism: Macaca fascicularis (crab-eating macaque)
Lineage: Eukaryota; Metazoa; Chordata; Mammalia; Primates; Cercopithecidae
Gene: SNORA26
Product: small nucleolar RNA, H/ACA box 26
Source: Ensembl
GUGCCCUUUUAAGGUUGACCCAGUGCUUUAAAAGGCUAACACAGAAGGGUAAAGUAAGUCUCCAUAAAACCCAGAGAAGAGACUGGAAAUCUCCCCUUUGGAUCCUGUCUGGAGUCACAGCU